GUGGCUAACAGUCAAGGAGUGCUGAGCAGGUGCUUGGGACUAUGACUUCUCAACCACCACGCAGGGAGAAGGCUCUACCCCAGUCCUGGGAAACAACUUUUAUCACUAAUACUCGAAUCAUGCCCAUUUUACAGGUGGAGAGACUUGGAGGAGAGGUCAACUGGUCUGAAGAUGACACAGAUUGUAACUGGUGGAGAGACUUGGAGGAGAGGUCAACUGGUCUGAAGAUGACACAGAUUAUACCUGGUAGAGCUGAACCUCAAAGUCUUUACUUCUGCCUUGACCCACUCUGCUCUACUGCUACAUUGGCAUCCAAGGCUCUACCCCAGUCCUGGGAAACAACUUUUAUCACUAAUACUCGAAUCACAUUGAAAUGGAUACUUUAUCAGUGGACCACCCCCUGUGGACAUCAAUCUCCUCAGGUCUCAUCCAUUCAUUCAUUCUUCAAACAUGUGCCGUCAACCCCAUAGGCGCAUGGCACAAUGCUAGGUCUAUUCUGAACAGAGUCUCUAACAUGGCGUACAUCUUCAAGGACAAGGACGAUUAAGCAGCACUUACAAAUAUAUACAGAGAGAUGAAGAAAACAAGGAUGUGAAUACUUGGGAGGCUUUUGCAAUAAUUCUGGUAACAUAUAAUGAAGACCUGGACGAGGAUAAUGGCUGUUGAAAUGGAAUGAAGGCGAUGAAUGUGAAAGACACUACAGCUUAACUCAAGUGUUAGCUAAUUCUUCUGCACAGAUCAAAUAGAAAUUUUUGUAGGUGUUU
Molecule: long non-coding RNA, 764 nt
Organism: Talpa occidentalis (Iberian mole)
Lineage: Eukaryota; Metazoa; Chordata; Mammalia; Eulipotyphla; Talpidae
Exons: 3
Source: RefSeq, a predicted model, not a curated record